Molecule: ribosomal RNA, 207 nt
Filed under: uncultured bacterium
Lineage: Bacteria
Description: partial 16S ribosomal RNA
Rfam family: Bacterial small subunit ribosomal RNA
Source: RNAcentral
AGCGUAGGCGGCGUGGUAAGUCAGAUGUGAAAUCCCGGGGCUCAACCCCGGAACUGCAUCCGAUACUGCCGUGCUAGAGGAUUGGAGAGGUAGCUGGAAUUCACGGUGCAGCAGUGAAAUGCGUAGAUAUCGUGAGGAACACUCGUGGCGAAAGCGAGCUACUGGACAACUCCUGACGCUGAGGCUCGAAGGCCAGGGUAGCGAGAG